GCGCUUGUAGCUCAGCUGGAUAGAGCAACGGCCUUCUAAGCCGUAGGCCACAGGUUCAAGUCCUGUCAAGCGCACCA
This 77-nucleotide transfer RNA is filed under the name Helicobacter heilmannii. RNAcentral describes it as "tRNA-Arg". It matches the Rfam family "tRNA". Rfam says of the family: Transfer RNA (tRNA) molecules are approximately 80 nucleotides in length. Their secondary structure includes four short double-helical elements and three loops (D, anti-codon, and T loops). Further hydrogen bonds mediate the characteristic L-shaped molecular structure. tRNAs have two regions of fundamental functional importance: the anti-codon, which is responsible for specific mRNA codon recognition, and the 3' end, to which the tRNAs corresponding amino acid is attached (by aminoacyl-tRNA synthetases). tRNAs cope with the degeneracy of the genetic code in two manners: having more than one tRNA (with a specific anti-codon) for a particular amino acid; and 'wobble' base-pairing, i.e. permitting non-standard base-pairing at the 3rd anti-codon position. RNAcentral also lists the same sequence under 4 other names. The record is from RNAcentral. Lineage: Bacteria; Pseudomonadati; Campylobacterota; Epsilonproteobacteria; Campylobacterales; Helicobacteraceae.